RNAcentral lists this long non-coding RNA (1079 nucleotides) under Lathyrus oleraceus (garden pea). Its description in RNAcentral is "Pisum sativum (pea) long non-coding RNA (PSAT_LNC010113)". Lineage: Eukaryota; Viridiplantae; Streptophyta; Magnoliopsida; Fabales; Fabaceae. The record is from RNAcentral.
AAUCAUUAUACUUAAGUUAGAAGUGUAUUGUUUUUAAAAGUUGAAUGAUUAGCAUAAAUAAUUAUUGAGUUAAAUAUUGAAAGAUUAAAAGGUAAUUACAUAAUUAAAAUUUAAUUCAAUAAGUCCCAAAUAAUCCAAGCAUACAUUUGUCUUAAAAAAAACCCAAGGUAAUUACAGUGAAAUUUGCUACAAAUGGAAAUAAAUCCUAAAGACCAAAGUCAGGUAAUCAAAUUUAAAUCUCUUUGAACAGGGGCGCGCCUCCAACCUUGCUGUAUUACAACCCACCUUCCAUUCCAUCAAGUCUCUUCAAACCUGUAAUCUGCAGAAAACAAAAACAGCUUAUUUAAAAAGCACUUUUUAAAAGCACUUAAAAAACUAAAGAAUAACUAAACAAAUUACUCAGUUUGAAACUUUACCCAGCAGGUUAACUUGAACAUCCAAAAAGGCAUUGCAAUAAUAACUUAAAACAGAAUAAACCAAAUCCCACAUAAUCUGGGAUGAGAAAUUCAAAAAAAGCAAGGAGUUUCUUAAAGACUGAAUUUGGUUUUCAAAAAAUUAGGAGAGGUUAACAGGGAGAGACAGAACACAGUAAGAGAUCUUCUCAAAAAAACCUAAACAACAACAACACAACAAAGCAAUUUUUUUUCUCAAAAAAACCUUAAACCAGCAAACACGAGCAAGAACAACAAACACAGCAAGAACAUCAACAAUACGGUAACGAUAUUUUUUUCUCAAAAAAAAAACCUAAUCAAGAAUAACACAACAAUUUCUCUCAAAACCUUAAACCAGAACACAACACAUCAAGAACAACAGAGAUUUUUUUUCAAAAAAAACCUAAAGAACACAACAACAACAAUACCAGAAACGGAGACGCUCGGUAAUCCUUCACCGACGAUUCAUGAAUCGACCAGUAAUCAAAGGAGAAGAAGAGAGAUAGAGUUGGAAAAGAAAAAAAAGUAACAGAAGCAUAAGAGAGAAGCGAAAAAACUCGACGAUACCUUUUCGGAUUUGGUUCGCUUCCGUUCUUCAUCUUUCGACUCGAGCAUCGUCGUUCUGCGUUCCACUUCAAGCGGCGACGC